Long non-coding RNA from Pecten maximus, 627 nucleotides. RefSeq lists it as uncharacterized. The record is from RefSeq and is a predicted model, not a curated record. NCBI's taxonomy places the organism in Eukaryota, Metazoa, Mollusca, Bivalvia, Pectinida, Pectinidae. The transcript is spliced from 3 exons.
CUCCAGUAUAGAUAGUCAACAUGUUGAAACAAGCCUGUCUUAUAACUUUGCUGGUUUGUGUAUCGUCUCAGCUUUUCGGACAUCGCGAGCGUCCGGAACAUUCAUCAUUAAUGUUCUACUACGACCCGAUAUCGCACUACCUUGUUGGACGGACACACUCCAGUUGUUACUUCAUGAGCUUAAGCGAUGACGAUAAGUCUAAAGUCCACACAACUAUUGGACUAGAACAAGUUGAGGUAUAGUAUCACAUGGAUGCGUAUCGAGAAGUUAUGGAAAAAAGACCACUAUCUGUUUCUCUUCUAGAGUUGCGUCUUUGCUAGCGAAGGCUUCUGAUGGAGUUACACUCCACAAACCCUUGACAGAUAUAGUCGUGUUCAAAGCGCCCCGCCCUGGAAUCCCAGGGCUCUAAUCCGACCGCAUCCUACAUUCAGGCUUGAACGCUCGUUUCGAUUGGUUGAACAUUUCAUGCGUAGCGGGCGGUAAUUUAUAAACAGAAAUACUAUAUCUCCAAAACAGAGCAAUUAUGACAAAUUCAAAACAGAAAAGGCUGUUACUUUUUAUAGAAAUUAUCAGUUACACCUUUUACAUUAUCACCAACCUCCAAAAUUUGGGACACGGGAAUGUAAC